This 468-nucleotide ribosomal RNA is filed under the name uncultured bacterium. RNAcentral's name for it is "partial 16S ribosomal RNA". It matches the Rfam family "Bacterial small subunit ribosomal RNA", at positions 28 to 507 of the family's 1533-position model. The record is from RNAcentral.
GACGAACGCUGGCGGCGUGCUUAACACAUGCAAGUCGAACGGAAAGGCCCUGCUUUUGUGGGGUGCUCGAGUGGCGAACGGGUGAGUAACACGUGAGUAACCUGCCCUUCACUUUGGGAUAACUUCAGGAAACUGGGGCUAAUACCGGAUAGGAGCUCCUGCUGCUUGGUGGGGGUUGGAAAGUUUCGGCGGUUGGGGAUGGACUCGCGGCUUAUCAGCUUGUUGGUGGGGUAGUGGCUUACCAAGGCUUUGACGGGUAGCCGGCCUGGGAGGGUGACCGGCCACGUUGGGACGGAGAUGCGGCCCAGACUCCUACGGGAGGCAGCGGUGGGGAGUGGUGCACAAUGGGCGGAGGCCUGAUGCAGCAACGCCGCGUGCGGGAUGACGGCCUUCGGGUUGUAAACCGCUUUCGCCUGUGACGAAGCGUGAGUGACGGUAAUGGGUAAAGAAGCACCGGCUAACUACGUG